GACGCGAAUUAGGACCAGCG
Molecule: small nuclear RNA, 20 nt
Filed under: Arabidopsis thaliana (thale cress)
Lineage: Eukaryota; Viridiplantae; Streptophyta; Magnoliopsida; Brassicales; Brassicaceae
Description: snRNA_03682
Source: RNAcentral